Molecule: non-coding RNA, 73 nt
Organism: Pangasius djambal
Lineage: Eukaryota; Metazoa; Chordata; Actinopteri; Siluriformes; Pangasiidae
Source: the annotation of a GenBank genome assembly
GGUCCCUGGAGGACUAGUGGUUAGGCCACAUCGCUCUCACUGCUGUUGCCCGGGUUCGAGUCCCAGGGAACCA